ACAAGUGAUUUUGAAUUGUAUCCUGGACAUUUUGGGUAUUAUGUUAUGAGACUCUGGAUCUUAUUUAAAUCUUCUGCUUUAGCAGUCUCCCUUUGAUACUGCCCUGAUGGGAUGUCUUCUCAUUACCACCAGGUGGGGGUAGAAUUCCAGGCUCCCCUUUUGGCUGUUGACAUCUUGGGAGGGGGGCAGGAGUGAAAAUGCGGGCUCCGCACUAAGUAUCUGCUGAUACCACCCUAUGACAUGUCAUUCCUUGAGUCUUCGGGUCCCUAGCCUUCUUCUCUUUACCUUUCAGAGUCUUUUUAUGUUUGUUUUUUAUGUAAUGUCCAGGGCUUUUAGAAGUACUUAGCCAGAAUAGGGAGAAGUGCAUCUGCUUCAUCUUGUCUGGAACUGGAAGUUCAUGCAAAAAAUAUGAGAGAGGAGAGGAAUCACCGACCACGAGUGUGGAAAGUUUUGCAGGUCUGAGACCAAUUGUUUUUGAAGCCCUCUUACACCAUUAAAAGCUAUUGAGAACUUCAAAGAGCUUUUGAUUUUGAGAGUUAUAUCUAUCCAUCACUACUGUAUCAGAAAUCGACUGAGAACAUUUAAAAUUAUCUAUUAAUUCAUUUUGAAACAAUAAUGAUCUCAUUAUGUGAGAACAUACGUAGCACAUAGUUUAAUGAAAAAUAAUGAUAUUUUCCAAAACGGAAGCAAUUAGGGAGAAGAGUGGCUUUGUUUUACAUUUUGGCAAAUCUGUUCAAUAUCUGGCUUAAUGGGAGACUGCUGAUUCUCUUCCAUGUUUCUGUGUUCCAUCUGUUGUCAUAGUGCAUGCCAUGUAGGCUCUAGAACAUUCCACUGACUUAUGAGAGAAUGAAAAUGAAAAAGGUAAAUAACAUUUUAAGAUUAUUUUGAAGAUAGUUUUGACCUUAGAGACCCCUGGAAAUGUUUUGGGGAUACCCCGGGUCACACUUUGAGAACUGCUGUGCUAGAAUUGCUCUUGCCACAUGCAGCUACUGAGCACUUAAGAUGUGGCUAAUGUGAAUGAGGAACAGAACUCUUAAUUUUAUUUAAUUUUAAUUAAUUCAAAUUUUAAAACUGGAGCAGUAUAAACUUCUUAUUUUUUGGGGGGGAGAUAUAACAUUAUUGCUUUGGUGGGAACACAUUUCACUUUAACCUUUGAAAAUUUAGCAUCUGAAUUAAGAUGUGCUGUAUGUGUUAAAUACACACCAGAUUUUGAGAACUUAGAAAAAAGGAAUAUAAGACACCUCAUUAAUAAUUUUUAUACUGGGUUUGUGUUGCUAUGAUAUUUUUAAUAUAUUGGGUUAAAUAAAAUGUAUUUUUUAAACUAACUUCACCUGUAAUUUAAAAAAAUUUUUUUAAAUGUGGCUAUUAUAAAUUUAGAGCUACAUAUAUUGCUCAUGUAUUUCUACUGGGCAAUGCUGCUCUAGAUGAAUCUGGAUGAUGAAGGCUCUGUCUGCCGUGUGAAGUUUAUUCUUUAUUUUGAAGGUAAUGCAAAACCAUUGGAAAGUCUGAAGUAGGGAAGUGACAUAAUCAGAUCUCCACUGUCGAAAGUUCUCUUUGCAGCAGCGUGGAGCGUGGAUUGAAGGAGGAACCGUUAGGAGAUGAUUGCACUCUUGAAGAUACAGGAAACUUGUGGCCUGAAGAAAAGCGGCUAAAUUGGAGACAUACUGGGGAGAUGGAGAAGCCAUUUGUCAUGUCAUGAGCAGCCCUAUGGAAAGGUCCAUGUGCUAAAGAACCGAAACUCUGUCAACAGCCAUGUGAGGGAGCUUGAAAGAAGAUCUUCAUGAAUGAAUGAAUGAAUGAAUGGAUGGAUGAAAGACUAAAUAAGUAAAGAAAUAAAUAAGACUGCAAUCUCACAAGAGAUCCUGAGCCAGAACAGCCCAGCUAAACUAUUCCACCCAGCUAAACUGAGCCCAAAUUCCUGACGGUGAGAUAUGUGUGAUAAUCAACACUGUUUUAAGCUGCUAAGUUUUGGGGUAACUGUCAUGCAGCAACAGAUAACUAAUACAGAUGCCGCAAAGUAGACUUAGAAGGGUAGUCAAGGAGCUAUGAAAUCUUUGAGACUGGCGUCUUGAGAAAACCAGGAAGAGAAUAUUUCAUGGAGGAAGAUAUGGUAUACAGUAUCAAGUGCUAUCAAGUGGUAGAGGAAUGAAAUUUUCAACAAAGGGGUGGUUGCUGACCUUGGUGAAAGCAAUCAGUAGAGUAUGGGAGGGCAGAAACCCGAUUAUAGUAGACUGAAGAGUUAGUAAUAAUAAAAGCUAUAAUUUUUA
This is a long non-coding RNA of Equus caballus (horse), 2267 nucleotides long. RefSeq lists it as uncharacterized. The record is from RefSeq and is a predicted model, not a curated record. Lineage: Eukaryota; Metazoa; Chordata; Mammalia; Perissodactyla; Equidae.